AAGAAACACGUCAAUAUAUUGCAUGAAGAAACACACUCUUGAUUACAAUCACUGCGACAAGAUUACUGCCAUACACUGUACGUCUGUACCAGCAGCAGAGUAUGCAGUAUAGGCAACGAAACAAGGACGGUCUGGCACAUACAUUUAUUCAGGUGCAAGGGAGAUGUAAAAAAAAAAGCUAUCGAACAGGAGGCCAGAACUGAACUUCAUACGCGGCCUCGGCGCAUAUCUAGGUCAAAAUUUAUGUGAUCACCGUGGGGGCAGAUCGGCCGGUGUACUCCUGGAUCUU
This 289-nucleotide long non-coding RNA is filed under the name Triticum aestivum (bread wheat). RNAcentral's name for it is "long non-coding RNA (TAES_LNC001950)". Lineage: Eukaryota; Viridiplantae; Streptophyta; Magnoliopsida; Poales; Poaceae. The record is from RNAcentral.